CAGCAAAGGCAAAAAAUGAUGCAAUUACCACAUCAACAGCAACUCCUUGCUCAGCAACAAUUUAGGCAAUCUUCAAUGCAAGGAUUGGGACAGAACCAGCUGCCACAGCUGCAUGAUUUGCAGGGACAGAGUCAGCAGAAGUUUCAGCAGUUACAUGGACAGCAUCAGAUGCAAUUUUCUCAGCCACUGGGACACCAGCAAUUUCAGGGUAGGCAACUGCCCUCUGGGCAUGUUCAGCAUGGCAUGGGUCAAAGUCCACUUAACCAAGGGAAUCAGUUAAAUCGCCAUUUAAGCCAGUUUUCUGGUACUGCAAAUAAUGCACUGUUUAAUGCUGCUCAGGUGGCACCAAAUACUCAGAUGAUUCCAAACAUGUCGGCUACAAUGUCGUCUCAACCGCUUGUGCCACGAAUGCAGUUUGGAUUAACUGGUAGCAAUCCCCAGAGGAGUCAUGCAUCCCAAAUUAUGAAUGAUCAAGUGUUUAAUAUGGGAGUGUCAAAUCCUGGUGGUAUGAUGCCCAUACAGCCGCAGCAGCCUCAACAACAGCAGCAGCUUGGUUCUCAAGGUGCAUUUGGUAAUAUGCCACCAAAUGCACAAAAUUUACAGUCCAGUAUGGUGACACUUCAGAAUGCAUCACAAAAUCAUUCGAAUUUUGUACAACAGAGGCAGCAGAAUCAGCAGUAACUAAAAUUCCAUAUUAAUUUACACCCACACCCACCAAACAACACCACCC
Molecule: unclassified non-coding RNA, 730 nt
Filed under: Hevea brasiliensis (rubber tree)
Lineage: Eukaryota; Viridiplantae; Streptophyta; Magnoliopsida; Malpighiales; Euphorbiaceae
Source: RNAcentral